CGGCUACCACAUCCAAGGAAGGCAGCAGGCGCGCAAAUUACCCAAUCCCGACACGGGGAGGUAGUGACAAUAAAUACUGAUACAGGGCUCUUUUGGGUCUUGUAAUUGGAAUGAGUACAAUUUAAAUCCCUUAACGAGGAACAAUUGGAGGGCAAGUCUGGUGCCAGCAGCCGCGGUAAUUCCAGCUCCAAUAGCGUAUAUUAAAGUUGUUGCAGUUAAAAAGCUCGUAGUUGAACCUUGGGCCUGGCUGGCCGGUCCGCCUCACCGCGUGCACUGGUCCGGCCGGGCCUUUCCUUCUGGGGAGCCGCAUGCCCUUCACUGGGUGUGUCGGGGAACCAGGACUUUUACUUUGAAAAAAUUAGAGUGUUCAAAGCAGGCCUAUGCUCGAAUACAUUAGCAUGGAAUAAUAGAAUAGGACGUGUGGUUCUAUUUUGUUGGUUUCUAGGACCGCCGUAAUGAUUAAUAGGGAUAGUCGGGGGCGUCAGUAUUCAGCUGUCAGAGGUGAAAUUCUUGGAUUUGCUGAAGACUAACUACUGCGAAAGCAUUCGCCAAGGAUGUUUUCAUUAAUCAGGGAACGAAAGUUAGGGGAUCGAAGACGAUCAGAUACCGUCGUAGUCUUAACCAUAAACUAUGCCGACUAGGGAUCGGGCGGUGUUUCUAUGAUGACCCGCUCGGCACCUUACGAGAAAUCAAAGUUUUUGGGUUCUGGGGGGAGUAUGGUCGCAAGGCUGAAACUUAAGGAAAUUGA
Molecule: ribosomal RNA, 748 nt
Filed under: uncultured fungus
Lineage: Eukaryota; Fungi
Description: SSU rRNA
Rfam family: Eukaryotic small subunit ribosomal RNA
Source: RNAcentral